GGCUGGUCCAAAGGUAGUGAGUUAUCUCACUUGAUUGCUCAUAGUCAGUUGCAGAUUGAACUCCUUGUUCUACUCUUACCCCCUUCUCACUACUGCACUUGACUUGACUAGU
Otolemur garnettii (small-eared galago) is the source of this 112-nucleotide unclassified non-coding RNA. It matches the Rfam family "Y RNA". Rfam says of the family: Y RNAs are components of the Ro ribonucleoprotein particle (Ro RNP), in association with Ro60 and La proteins. The Y RNAs and Ro60 and La proteins are well conserved, but the function of the Ro RNP is not known. In humans the RNA component can be one of four small RNAs -- hY1, hY3, hY4 and hY5. The record is from Ensembl. Lineage: Eukaryota; Metazoa; Chordata; Mammalia; Primates; Galagidae.